AAUCCAUGUUGCUUUCCCAGGUUCCCCUGGGGGAGGUCCAAUCCAACACCGAUGANUGAGUCUGUANUCUGAGUANGCCCAGUGCCAUGAAUUUUUAAACAAGUUAAAACUUUCAACAACGGAUCUCUUGGCUCUCGCAUCGAUGAAGAACGCAGCGAAAUGCGAUAAGUAAUGUGAAUUGCANAAUUCAGUGAAUCAUCGAAUCUUUGAACGCACAUUGCGCCCCUUGGCAUUCCUUGAGGCAUGCCUGUUCGAGCGUCACUACAAACCCCCUCAUAGAUAUUUAUGGUAUUGAUGGAAGUGAACUGUGUGUCUAUUGGUGUACUCAUACCACUCCAUCGAAAUGAAUAGGCAGGACAAGUGGCAACUGCAAUGGACUUAGUAAAUGGUUUUCAGAUAUGGACCAGUUCUUUGCUAUGUUGUACAGCCUGUAUCUAUGGACUCCCAUCCAAUGAGCACUUUGGGUUGACCUCGAAUCAGGUAGGGAUACCCGCUGAACUUAAGCAUAUCAAUAAGCGGAGGAAAAGAAACCAACAGGGAUUGCCCUAGUAACGGCGAGUGAAGCGGCAAAAGCUCAAAUUUGAAAUCUGGCACCCCUGGUGUCCGAGUUGUAAUUUGGAGAGGUAUCUUCCGGAGGGGCCCAGCCUAUGUUCCUUGGAACAGGACAUCACAGAGGGUGAGAAUCCCGUUCAUGGCUGGAUG
RNAcentral lists this ribosomal RNA (702 nucleotides) under uncultured fungus. RNAcentral's name for it is "eukaryotic LSU rRNA". The stretch from base 467 to 702 matches the Rfam family "Eukaryotic large subunit ribosomal RNA", at positions 1 to 235 of the family's 3401-position model. Lineage: Eukaryota; Fungi. The record is from RNAcentral.